UCUUUGAAAGGGCUUUGUGAUCUGCCCCAAAUGGAAGGCAAACUGAACGCAGCUGAUCGGAGCAGGCUUCCAUCCUUUUACUCGUAUCCAGCAUCUCCGAAGUUUGGCAACCAGCAGCAAGAUCUGGUAAAAAAAAUCUCCAAAGUAACGUGCUACCAUCCCAACUGUAGACUGUACUGAAAUUUUCCUGCCCCCCAGGCAGUAUCUCUAAACACAAGCAAAAUGCAGAACAACUUUCAGCCAAAGCACAGUAUUCUACUUGGACUCCCG
RNAcentral lists this long non-coding RNA (270 nucleotides) under Cavia porcellus (domestic guinea pig). RNAcentral's name for it is "lncRNA (ENSCPOG00000031802.1)". Lineage: Eukaryota; Metazoa; Chordata; Mammalia; Rodentia; Caviidae. The record is from RNAcentral.